CCUACGUGAGGCUGCAGUGAGGAAUAUUGGUCAAUGGGCUUACGCCUGAACCAGCCAAGUCGCGUGAGGGAAGACUGCCCUAUGGGUUGUAAACCUCUUUUGUCAGGGAGCAAUUGGCGCUACGUGUAGCGUUAUCGAGAGUACCUGAAGAACAAGCAUCGGCUAACUCCGUGCCAGCAGCCGCGGUAAUACGGAGGAGGCGAGCGUUAUCCGGAUUUAUUGGGUGUAAAGGGUGCGUAGGCGGGAUGCCCAGUCAGCGGUAAAAUCGCGGGGCUCAACCUCGCUCCGCCGUUGAAACUGGCGUUCUUGAGUGGACGAGAAGUAUGCGGAAUGCGUGGUGUAGCGGUGAAAUGCAUAGAUAUCACGCAGAA
Molecule: ribosomal RNA, 371 nt
Filed under: uncultured bacterium
Lineage: Bacteria
Description: partial 16S ribosomal RNA
Rfam family: Bacterial small subunit ribosomal RNA
Source: RNAcentral